Molecule: ribosomal RNA, 757 nt
Filed under: uncultured Actinomyces sp.
Lineage: Bacteria; Bacillati; Actinomycetota; Actinomycetes; Actinomycetales; Actinomycetaceae
Description: bacterial SSU rRNA
Rfam family: Bacterial small subunit ribosomal RNA
Source: RNAcentral
GACGAACGCUGGCGGCGUGCUUAACACAUGCAAGUCGAACGAAAAUACCAAGCUUGCUUGGUUGAUUAGUGGCGAACGGGUGAGUAACACGUGAGUAACCUGCCCCUUACUUUCCUGGAUAACUGCUCGAAAGGGUAGCUAAUACGGGAUAUUCUGACCGGCCUGCAUGGGUUGGUUUGGAAAGGUUGUUUUUUCUGGUGAGGGAUGGGCUCGCGGCCUAUCAGCUUGUUGGUGGGGUGAUGGCCUACCAAGGCUUUGACGGGUAGCCGGCCUGAGAGGGUGACCGGUCACAUUGGGACUGAGAUACGGCCCAGACUCCUACGGGAGGCAGCAGUGGGGAAUAUUGCACAAUGGGCGCAAGCCUGAUGCAGCGACGCCGCGUGAGGGAUGAAGGCCUUCGGGUUGUAAACCUCUUUCGUCAGGGAACAAGGCACUACGUUUUGGUGGUGUUGAGGGUACCUGGAUAAGAAGCGCCGGCUAACUACGUGCCAGCAGCCGCGGUAAUACGUAGGGCGCAAGCGUUGUCCGGAAUUAUUGGGCGUAAAGAGCUCGUAGGCGGCUGGUCGCGUCUGUCGUGAAAACUUCCGGCUCAACCGGGGGCUUGCGGUGGGUACGGGCCGGCUAGAGUGCGGUAGGGGUAACUGGAACUCCUGGUGUAGCGGUGGAAUGCGCAGAUAUCAGGAAGAACACCGAUGGCGAAGGCAGGUUACUGGGCCGUUACUGACGCUGAGGAGCGAAAGCGUGGGGAGCGAACAGG